This 2909-nucleotide ribosomal RNA is filed under the name Providencia stuartii. RNAcentral's name for it is "23S ribosomal RNA". It matches the Rfam family "Bacterial large subunit ribosomal RNA". Lineage: Bacteria; Pseudomonadati; Pseudomonadota; Gammaproteobacteria; Enterobacterales; Morganellaceae. The record is from RNAcentral.
GGUUAAGCGACUAAGCGUACACGGUGGAUGCCUAGGCAAUCAGAGGCGAUGAAGGACGUGCUAAUCUGCGAAAAGCGUCGGUAAGGUGAUAUGAACCGUUAUAACCGACGAUGUCCGAAUGGGGAAACCCAGUGCAAUUCGUUGCACUAUCGUUUGAUGAAUCCAUAGUCAAACGAGGCGAACCGGGGGAACUGAAACAUCUCAGUACCCCGAGGAAAAGAAAUCAACCGAGAUUCCCCUAGUAGCGGCGAGCGAACGGGGAGCAGCCCAGAGUCUUAAUCAGUAUCAGCAUCAGGAGAACGGUCUGGAAAGGCCGGCAAUAAAGGGUGAUAGCCCCGUAUCCGAAGGUGUUGGUGUUGUGAACUCGACGAGUAGGGCGGGACACGUGUUAUCCUGUCUGAAUAUGGGGGGACCAUCCUCCAAGGCUAAAUACUCCUGAUUGACCGAUAGUGAACCAGUACCGUGAGGGAAAGGCGAAAAGAACCCCGGCGAGGGGAGUGAAAUAGAACCUGAAACCGUGUACGUACAAGCAGUGGGAGCCUUGAUUUAUCAGGGUGACUGCGUACCUUUUGUAUAAUGGGUCAGCGACUUAUAUUCUGUAGCAAGGUUAACCGUAUAGGGGAGCCGUAGGGAAACCGAGUCUUAACUGGGCGAAUGAGUUGCAGGGUAUAGACCCGAAACCCGGUGAUCUAGCCAUGGGCAGGUUGAAGGUUGGGUAACACUAACUGGAGGACCGAACCGACUAAUGUUGAAAAAUUAGCGGAUGACUUGUGGCUGGGGGUGAAAGGCCAAUCAAACCGGGAGAUAGCUGGUUCUCCCCGAAAGCUAUUUAGGUAGCGCCUCGUGAACUCAUCUUCGGGGGUAGAGCACUGUUUCGGCUAGGGGGUCAUCCCGACUUACCAACCCGAUGCAAACUACGAAUACCGAAGAAUGUUAUCACGGGAGACACACGGCGGGUGCUAACGUUCGUCGUGAAGAGGGAAACAACCCAGACCGCCAGCUAAGGUCCCAAAGUCAUGGUUAAGUGGGAAACGAAGUGGGAAGGCUCAGACAGCCAGGAUGUUGGCUUAGAAGCAGCCAUCAUUUAAAGAAAGCGUAAUAGCUCACUGGUCGAGUCGGCCUGCGCGGAAGAUGUAACGGGGCUAAACCAUGCACCGAAGCUGCGGCAGCGACAUUUAGAUGUUGUUGGGUAGGGGAGCGUUCUGUAAGCCUGUGAAGGUGUGCUGCGAGGCAUGCUGGAGGUAUCAGAAGUGCGAAUGCUGACAUAAGUAACGAUAAUGCGGGUGAAAAACCCGCACGCCGGAAGACCAAGGGUUCCUGUCCAACGUUAAUCGGGGCAGGGUGAGUCGACCCCUAAGGCGAGGCAGAAAUGCGUAGUCGAUGGGAAACAGGUUAAUAUUCCUGUACUGGUGAUAAUUGCGAUGGGGGGACGGAGAAGGCUAGGCUGGCCGGGCGACGGUUGUCCCGGUUUAAGGAUGUAGGUGGGUGAAUUAGGCAAAUCCGGUUCGCUAUACACUGAGGUCUGAUGACGAGUCACUACGGUGGCGAAGUAGCUCAUGCCCCGCUUCCAGGAAAAGCCUCUAAGCUCUAGAUUAUCAUUAAUCGUACCCCAAACCGACACAGGUGGUCAGGUAGAGAAUACUCAGGCGCUUGAGAGAACUCGGGUGAAGGAACUAGGCAAAAUGGUGCCGUAACUUCGGGAGAAGGCACGCUGGCAUUAGGUGAAGUCCCUUGCGGAUGGAGCUGAAGCCAGUCGCAGAUACCAGCUGGCUGCAACUGUUUAUUAAAAACACAGCACUGUGCAAACACGAAAGUGGACGUAUACGGUGUGACGCCUGCCCGGUGCUGGAAGGUUAAUUGAUGGGGUUAUCCGUAAGGAGAAGCUCUUGAUCGAAGCCCCAGUAAACGGCGGCCGUAACUAUAACGGUCCUAAGGUAGCGAAAUUCCUUGUCGGGUAAGUUCCGACCUGCACGAAUGGCGUAAUGAUGGCCAGGCUGUCUCCACCCGAGACUCAGUGAAAUUGAACUCGCUGUGAAGAUGCAGUGUACCCGCGGCAAGACGGAAAGACCCCGUGAACCUUUACUAUAGCUUGACACUGAACAUUGAGCCUUGAUGUGUAGGAUAGGUGGGAGGCUUUGAAGUGUGGACGCCAGUCUGCAUGGAGCCAACCUUGAAAUACCACCCUUUAAUGUUUGAUGUUCUAACGUUGCCCCAUAAUCUGGGGUGCGGACAGUGUCUGGUGGGUAGUUUGACUGGGGCGGUCUCCUCCCAAAGCGUAACGGAGGAGCACGAAGGUUGGCUAAGCAUGGUCGGACAUCAUGCGGUUAGUGCAAAGGCAUAAGCCAGCUUGACUGCGAGAGUGACGGCUCGAGCAGGUACGAAAGUAGGUCUUAGUGAUCCGGUGGUUCUGAAUGGAAGGGCCAUCGCUCAACGGAUAAAAGGUACUCCGGGGAUAACAGGCUGAUACCGCCCAAGAGUUCAUAUCGACGGCGGUGUUUGGCACCUCGAUGUCGGCUCAUCACAUCCUGGGGCUGAAGUAGGUCCCAAGGGUAUGGCUGUUCGCCAUUUAAAGUGGUACGCGAGCUGGGUUUAGAACGUCGUGAGACAGUUCGGUCCCUAUCUGCCGUGGGCGUUGGAAGAUUGAAAGGGGCUGCUCCUAGUACGAGAGGACCGGAGUGGACGCACCGCUGGUGUUCGGGUUGUCAUGCCAAUGGCACUGCCCGGUAGCUAAGUGCGGAAGAGAUAACCGCUGAAAGCAUCUAAGCGGGAAACUUGCCUUGAGAUGAGUCUUCCCUGACUCUUUAAGGGUCCUAAAGGAACGUUUAAGACGAAGACGUUGAUAGGCUGGGUGUGUAAGCGUAGCGAUACGUUGAGCUAACCAGUACUAAUGAACCGUGAGGCUUAACCUG